RNAcentral lists this long non-coding RNA (308 nucleotides) under Gossypium barbadense (sea-island cotton). Its description in RNAcentral is "long non-coding RNA (GBAR_LNC010595)". Lineage: Eukaryota; Viridiplantae; Streptophyta; Magnoliopsida; Malvales; Malvaceae. The record is from RNAcentral.
ACUCACGAAGGUCACGGUACAUCUUAUUUCUUCCAGGAUACAUAGCAUAGGGGCUACUAUGCGCCUCUCGCAAUAUGGACUGCCUCAAAUCAGUAUCCUUUGGAACACAAAUUCUCACACGAAAAUAGAGCACCCCUUCACCAUUUAGUCCAAAAUCCACAGUAUCACCACUCUCAACCUUUCGGAAUCGAAGACUCAGUGACUCAUCCUCCAUCUGUUUACCUUUAAUCUACUUAAUCCACAUCGAUUUAACCUGAAGUUUGGCCAACAGACUACCAUCAUCAAAUAAACUAAGACGAGCAAACAUC